UACGAAGGGGGCUAGCGUUGCUCGGAAUCACUGGGCGUAAAGCGCACGUAGGCGGAUUGUUAAGUCAGGGGUGAAAUCCUGGAGCUCAACUCCAGAACUGCCUUUGAUACUGGCGAUCUUGAGUCCGGGAGAGGUGAGUGGAACUGCGAGUGUAGAGGUGAAAUUCGUAGAUAUUCGCAAGAACACCAGUGGCGAAGGCGGCUCACUGGCCCGGUACUGACGCUGAGACGCGAAAGCGUGGGGAGCGAACAGG
RNAcentral lists this ribosomal RNA (253 nucleotides) under uncultured bacterium. RNAcentral describes it as "partial 16S ribosomal RNA". It matches the Rfam family "Bacterial small subunit ribosomal RNA", at positions 524 to 776 of the family's 1533-position model. The record is from RNAcentral.